RNAcentral lists this ribosomal RNA (253 nucleotides) under Escherichia coli. RNAcentral describes it as "partial 23S ribosomal RNA". It matches the Rfam family "Bacterial large subunit ribosomal RNA", at positions 233 to 524 of the family's 2925-position model. The record is from RNAcentral. Lineage: Bacteria; Pseudomonadati; Pseudomonadota; Gammaproteobacteria; Enterobacterales; Enterobacteriaceae.
UAUUCCCCCAGUAGCGGCGAGCGAACGGGGAGCAGCCCAGAGCCUGAAUCAGUGUGUGUGUUAGUGGAAGCGUCUGGAAAGGCGUGCGAUACAGGGUGACAGCCCCGUACACAAAAAUGCACAUAUUGUGAGCUCGAUGAGUAGGGCGGGACACGUGGUAUCCUGUCUGAAUAUGGGGGGACCAUCCUCCAAGGCUAAAUACUCCUGACUGACCGAUAGUGAACCAGUACCGUGAGGGAAAGGCGAAAAGAAC